AGGGCCAGACCUGCUGCAUAUGGAGGCUCCCAGCCUAGGGGUCUAAUGGGAGCUUUAGCCACCACCUACACCACAGCUCACAGCAACGCCAGAUCCUUAACCCACUGAGCGAGGCCAGGGAUUGAACCUGCAAUCUCAUGGUUCCUAGUCGGAUUUGUUUCCACUGUGCCAUGACGGGAACUCCCCCAGGGUUAAUCUUUUAAAAGGAGGCUCCUAUGAUUCCUUAAUUCUGAUAGAACAGACCUUAUAAACAGAUGAACUGCACCAGCACUAUCCAACAGAACUUUCUUCCAUAGGAAAAUGUUCUCUUUGUGAUAGCCAAUGUAUGGAAGCCACCAUGCACACGUGACACUGGACACUUGAAAUAUCAUCAGUAUAAUGAAGGGACUGAAUUUUAAAUUUUAUUUUACAUUUAAAUAUAAAUUUAAAUAGCCACGUGGCUAGUGGCUAUUCUAUAGCAUGGAUCUAUACCCUUCAGGAAAGAAAUGAUCUUCCAUGUUAUUUUAUUCCUUAAGGGAGUAUUUUUGUCAAUGGUCAGGCCCCCUUCUCCUCUUGCCCUAUAUAGAAGGGUACCACCAGGCAAAUAUGAGGGUGUGUGGAGAGGAGAUGGAAAUGAAGACAAAGGAGGUAGGCAAGAAAGUGAGAACAAGGAGGACAAGUAUUUCAAGAGGAUGCCCCCUGUUUAAAAUUGAAAUGUAGCUGAUUUACAAUGUUGUGCUAACUUCAGCUGUACAGCAGUGAUUCAGCUGUACAUCUAUGUACACUUUUAAAAAAAGUAUUCUUUUCCAUUAUGGUUUAUCAUAGAAUAUUGAAUAUAGUUCCCUGUGCUAUACUGUAGGACCUUGUUGUUUAUGAAUCCUAAUAUAAUAGUUUACAUCUGCUAACCCUAAAUUCUCAAUUCAUUCCUCCCCUCCCCUUUCCCUGUUGGGAACCACAAGUCUGUUCUGCAUGUCUGUGAAUGUUUCUGUUUCAUAAAAGUUCAUCUGUGUCAUAUUUUAGAUUCCUCCUAUAGGUGAUAUCAUAUGGUAUUUGUCUUUCUCUGUCAAACUUACUUCACUUAGUAUGGUAAUCUCUAGUUCUAUCCAGGUUGCUGCAAAAUGGCAUCUGUUCUUUUUAUGACUGCGUAAUAUUCCAUGGGCCCUUGGGUUAUUUCCAAAUCUUGGCUCUUGUGAAUAGUGCUGCUGUGUCUUUUGGGUCAUGUGUCUUUUCGAAUUACAUUUUUGGAGGAUGUACCUUUCCUCCCCCAAAAUGCUAGGGAACUCAUACAGACCACAUACUGUUAAGAUUAAAUAGAAAUUGGUUUUCAUAUCUGCAAAGAGAAAUGAUCCUCAUAAUCAUAUAAUCAUCCCUCAGUAUAGGCGGAGGACUGGUUCCAGGACCCUUGUCAGACCAAAAUCUGAGGAUGCUCACGUCCUUUAUAGAGAAUGGUCUGGUAUUUUCAUAUAACCUAUAUACAUUCUCCCCAUCCUUAUAAUCACUAUCUCUAGAUUACCUAUGCUACCAAAUACAAUGUAAAACUUUGUAAGUGGUCUCCAGUGUGGGACAAAUCCAAGUUUUGAUUUUUUGAAUUUUCUGUAACUUUGUUUUCCCCUGGAGGAUACUUUUGACAGGUUGGUUGAAUCCUCAAUGCAGAAGCCUAAGAUGCAGAGGGCUGGCUGUACUAUAUUGCUUCAAGUGAAUGUGCUCUUUCCCUUCUAUUUCCCAAAGCAUUGCAUAUCUCUGAGAAGGCUCACCACAGUCCACUUCACAGUCCUGUUGUAAAUCUAACAUUCCCUAACAGCCCCUGCUGGCUCUGAAGGUAGAAAAUUUAUUUGUAUUCAAAUUCUUUCUAUUGUUAUGGCAAGCAAGAGUUAAUAAAAUUUUAUUAUAAAUAUAUAAUUUCUAUAAAAGAACAGGAGUUGGCAUGGCAGGCAUUAAUUUAAAAUGAAGGUAUAGGAAUUCUCAUGGUGGCUCAGGGGUAACAACCCAACUAGUAUCCAGGAGGACUUGGGUUCGAUCCCUGGCCUUGCUCAGUGGGUUAAGGAUCCAGUGUUGCCGUGAGCUGUGAUGUAGGUCGAAGGCUCGGUUCAGAUCCUGCAUUGCUAUAGCUGAGGUGUAGGUCGGCAGCUCUAACUCCUAUUCGACCCCUAGCCUGGGAACUUCCAUGUGCCAUGCGUGUGGCCCUAAAAAGACAAAAUAGUAAUAAUAAAGUGAUAUAAAAUAAAAUAAAAUGAAGGUCUAUCAGUUUCUGUUGUAGCUCAGCAGGUUAAGAAUCUGACUAGCACCCAUGAGGAUGUGGGUUUGAUCCCUGCCCUUGCUCAGAGGGUUAAAGGAUCCAGCAUUGCUGCGAGCUGUGGUGUAGUCAGAUUUGUUAAUCACUGAGCCAUGAUGGGAACUCCUGGGCAGUUUUUUCUAACUCUCCUCCCUGCCCCUUUUGCUACACACACACUUUUGGGAGUCACUCUGGGCCGAGCCCAUUGUUGCUGAUGGAAAUGUACUUUUCAGAUGUGUUGAGGUGUUUAAAAAAGAAGGUUGAAAAUGAUUUUCCUAAAAACCUAUGUUGACAGUUCUUCACAGGUUCUGGGUGCACACAAACACAAUUCUUACAAGAAGUGCCAAUGCAAACUAUAUACCUUUCUUAAAGACCAUCCUCUAAUUAAGACAGAGAUGAGCAGUGGCAGUACUGAUCUAUAAUAAUGACUACCAUUUAUUGAGUGCAUAAUCUGUUUCAAGCAUUGUUCUAAACAGUUAACAUGUGCUGGUUAAUUUAAUCAUCAUGGCAGCUCUAUGAGAUAGAUAAUAUUGUUAUCCUAU
Molecule: long non-coding RNA, 2793 nt
Filed under: Sus scrofa (pig)
Lineage: Eukaryota; Metazoa; Chordata; Mammalia; Artiodactyla; Suidae
Description: lncRNA (ENSSSCG00000058076.1)
Source: RNAcentral